This 494-nucleotide ribosomal RNA is filed under the name uncultured bacterium. Its description in RNAcentral is "partial 16S ribosomal RNA". It matches the Rfam family "Bacterial small subunit ribosomal RNA", at positions 28 to 507 of the family's 1533-position model. The record is from RNAcentral.
GACGAACGCUGGCGGCGCGCUUAACACAUGCAAGUCGAACGGAAAGGCCUGCUUUCCCUUGUGGAUUGCGGGUACUCGAGUGGCGAACGGGUGAGUAACACGUGAGUGAUCUGCCCCCAACUUGGGUAUAAGCCUGGGAAACUGGGUCUAAUUCCCGAUAGGACUGCAGGGUGGUGCCUGUGGUGGAAAACGAUUUUCUAGUGGUUGGGGAUGAGCUCGCGGCCUAUCAGCUUGUUGGUGGGGUAAUGGCCUACCAAGGCGGCGACGGGUAGCCGGCCUGGGAGGGUGGACGGCCACAUUGGGACUGAGAUACGGCCCAGACUCCUACGGGAGGCAGCAGUGGGGAAGAUGGCACAAUGGGCGGAAGCCUGAUGCAGCGACGCCGCGUGGGGGAUGACGGCCUUCGGGUUGUAAACUCCUUUCGACCGCGAGGAAGCCACCUGGUUGGAAGGGUGGUGACGGUAGUGGUAGAAGAAGCACCGGCUAACUACGUG